This 506-nucleotide ribosomal RNA is filed under the name uncultured bacterium. RNAcentral's name for it is "partial 16S ribosomal RNA". It matches the Rfam family "Bacterial small subunit ribosomal RNA", at positions 30 to 523 of the family's 1533-position model. The record is from RNAcentral.
AUUGAACGCUGGCGGCAGGCCUAACACAUGCAAGUCGAGCGGCAGCGGAAAGUAGCUUGCUACUUUGCCGGCGAGCGGCGGACGGGUGAGUAAUGUCUGGGAAACUGCCUGAUGGAGGGGGAUAACUACUGGAAACGGUAGCUAAUACCGCAUAACGUCGCAAGACCAAAGAGGGGGACCUUCGGGCCUCUUGCCAUCCGAUGUGCCCAGAUGGGAUUAGCUAGUAGGUGGGGUAACGGCUCACCUAGGCGACGAUCCCUAGCUGGUCUGAGAGGAUGACCAGCCACACUGGAACUGAGACACGGUCCAGACUCCUACGGGAGGCAGCAGUGGGGAAUAUUGCACAAUGGGCGCAAGCCUGAUGCAGCCAUGCCGCGUGUAUGAAGAAGGCCUUCGGGUUGUAAAGUACUUUCAGCGGGGAGGAAGGUGUUGAGGUUAAUAACCUCAGCAAUUGACGUUACCCGCAGAAGAAGCACCGGCUAACUCCGUGCCAGCAGCCGCCGUAA